Molecule: ribosomal RNA, 763 nt
Filed under: uncultured Streptococcus sp.
Lineage: Bacteria; Bacillati; Bacillota; Bacilli; Lactobacillales; Streptococcaceae
Description: bacterial SSU rRNA
Rfam family: Bacterial small subunit ribosomal RNA
Source: RNAcentral
GACGAACGCUGGCGGCGUGCCUAAUACAUGCAAGUAGAACGCUGAAGGAGGAGCUUGCUUCUCUGGAUGAGUUGCGAACGGGUGAGUAACGCGUAGGUAACCUGCCUGGUAGCGGGGGAUAACUAUUGGAAACGAUAGCUAAUACCGCAUAAGAGUAGAUGUUGCAUGACAUUUGCUUAAAAGGUGCAAUUGCAUCACUACCAGAUGGACCUGCGUUGUAUUAGCUAGUUGGUGGGGUAACGGCUCACCAAGGCGACGAUACAUAGCCGACCUGAGAGGGUGAUCGGCCACACUGGGACUGAGACACGGCCCAGACUCCUGCGGGAGGCAGCAGUAGGGAAUCUUCGGCAAUGGACGGAAGUCUGACCGAGCAACGCCGCGUGAGUGAAGAAGGUUUUCGGAUCGUAAAGCUCUGUUGUAAGAGAAGAACGAGUGUGAGAGUGGAAAGUUCACACUGUGACGGUAUCUUACCAGAAAGGGACGGCUAACUACGUGCCAGCAGCCGCGGUAAUACGUAGGUCCCGAGCGUUGUCCGGAUUUAUUGGGCGUAAAGCGAGCGCAGGCGGUUAGAUAAGUCUGAAGUUAAAGGCUGUGGCUUAACCAUAGUACGCUUUGGAAACUGUUUAACUUGAGUGCAAGAGGGGAGAGUGGAAUUCCAUGUGUAGCGGUGAAAUGCGUAGAUAUAUGGAGGAACACCGGUGGCGAAAGCGGCUCUCUGGCUUGUAACUGACGCUGAGGCUCGAAAGCGUGGGGAGCAAACAGG